This 98-nucleotide ribosomal RNA is filed under the name Cytinus hypocistis. RNAcentral describes it as "4.5S ribosomal RNA". The record is from RNAcentral. Lineage: Eukaryota; Viridiplantae; Streptophyta; Magnoliopsida; Malvales; Cytinaceae.
UAAGGUCACGACGAGACGAGUCGUUUAUUAAUUAAAAUUAAUAGGUGUCAAGUGUAAAUACAGUGAUGUAAGAGCUGAGUCAUCCUAAUAGACCGAUA